AUGGGAUCCCGGAGGGAACCCCGAUUAUUCCCGGGCGGUAAAAGCACGGGCCAGAUCAAGCCGGGGAAAUCGAGCGCGACGUUUGGACGGAUUCGUUGGGGGGGCAUCCCUGCCCUACCCGCGUCGUUUCCCCGGGGAAACGUUCCACGCCUCCAGGGGUCGGGGAGAGAAGCCACGGCUCGAGCGAGACCGCGAACGCAGCGACCGAAAGGCGGCGACGACCGGAGAGACGGACCGCCCCCUCCCUCCGGUGCUCCACCUCCAUGCUCCGUCCACCAGCGACCACAACGUCCGUGGUCGUCUUGCUCCUCCUUCCCCAGAUCUCCCCUCCUCCUCGAAGUUCCUGUCCCCUCCGGUGACGGCAACGCCGGCGGUUCCGCGGUCAACUUCCACCUACUUCGAUUAAGGGAAACUGAUGCCUGA
This 423-nucleotide ribosomal RNA is filed under the name Triticum aestivum (bread wheat). Its description in RNAcentral is "partial small subunit ribosomal RNA". Lineage: Eukaryota; Viridiplantae; Streptophyta; Magnoliopsida; Poales; Poaceae. The record is from RNAcentral.